This 540-nucleotide ribosomal RNA is filed under the name fungal endophyte sp. M4-3151. RNAcentral describes it as "eukaryotic LSU rRNA". The stretch from base 206 to 359 matches the Rfam family "5.8S ribosomal RNA". The record is from RNAcentral. Lineage: Eukaryota; Fungi.
GGUGAACCAGCGGAGGGAUCAUUACUGAGUUACCGCUCUACAACCCUUUGUGAACAUACCUAACCGUUGCUUCGGCGGGCAGGGGAAGCCUCUCGCGGGCGACCCCUCCCGGCGCCGGCCCCAUCACGGGGGCGGAGCGCCCGCCGGAGGAAACCAAACUCUAUUUACACGACGUCUCUUCUGAGUGGCACAAGCAAAUAAUUAAAACUUUUAACAACGGAUCUCUUGGUUCUGGCAUCGAUGAAGAACGCAGCGAAAUGCGAUAAGUAAUGUGAAUUGCAGAAUUCAGUGAAUCAUCGAAUCUUUGAACGCACAUUGCGCUCGCCAGCAUUCUGGCGAGCAUGCCUGUUCGAGCGUCAUUUCAACCCUCAAGCACCGCUUGGUUUUGGGGCCCCACGGCCGACGUGGGCCCUUAAAGGUAGUGGCGGACCCUCCCGGAGCCUCCUUUGCGUAGUAACUAACGUCUCGCACUGGGAUCCGGAGGGACUCUUGCCGUUAAACCCCCAAAAUUUUUUCAGGUUGACCUCGGAUCAAGUAGGA